This 443-nucleotide ribosomal RNA is filed under the name uncultured bacterium. RNAcentral's name for it is "partial 16S ribosomal RNA". It matches the Rfam family "Bacterial small subunit ribosomal RNA", at positions 338 to 795 of the family's 1533-position model. The record is from RNAcentral.
CCUACGGGGCGCAGCAGUGGGGAAUAUUGGGCAAUGGAGGAAACUCUGACCCAGCAACGCCGCGUGAAUGAUGAAGGUCUUCGGAUUGUAACGUUCUUUUCUAAGGGAAGAAGAAAGUGACGGUACCUUAGGAAUAAGCCUCGGCUAACUACGUGCCAGCAGCCGCGGUAAUACGUAGGAGGCGAGCGUUAUCCGGAAUGACUGGGCGUAAAGGGUGCGUAGGUGGUUUGGCAAGUUAGUAGCGUAACUCCAAGGCUCAACCUUGGAACUACUACUAAAACUGUUGGACUUGAGGGCAGGAGGGGCAACCGGAAUUCCUAGUGUAGCGGUGGAAUGCGUAGAGAGUAGGAGGAACACCAGUGGCGAAGGCGGGUUGCUAGACGGUAACUGACACUGAGGCACGAAAGCGUGGGGAGCAAACAGGAUUAGAUACCCCUGGAGUC